AUACGUAGGGUGCAAGCGUUAUCCGGAAUUAUUGGGCGUAAAGCGUGCGCAGGCGGUUUAGUAAGUUUGUAGUUAAAUCUGGUCGCUCAACGAUCAACGUGCUACGAAAACUGCCAAACUAGAGAAUGACAGAGGCAACUGGAAUUCUGCAUGUAGGGGUAAAAUCCGUUGAUAUGCAGAGGAACACCAAAAGCGAAGGCAGGUUGCUGGGUCAUUUCUGACGCUGUUGCACGAAAGCGUAGGUAGCGAACAGGAUUAGAAACCCCGGUAGUCC
RNAcentral lists this ribosomal RNA (274 nucleotides) under uncultured bacterium. Its description in RNAcentral is "partial 16S ribosomal RNA". It matches the Rfam family "Bacterial small subunit ribosomal RNA", at positions 523 to 796 of the family's 1533-position model. The record is from RNAcentral.